This 686-nucleotide long non-coding RNA is filed under the name Setaria viridis. Its description in RNAcentral is "long non-coding RNA (SVIR_LNC000909)". The record is from RNAcentral. Lineage: Eukaryota; Viridiplantae; Streptophyta; Magnoliopsida; Poales; Poaceae.
GUAGGGGAGUGUUGCUCGUAUGAGUUUUUAGAUCUAGUUUGGUCGAGUCGAGUCAUGUGAGAGUCUAAAUUAGUGUUUUUAUUUCAAUCAAAAAUAGAUAAAAUAGUAAUUUUCUUAAGCUUUUGAGAAGAUUUAGGCCUAGAUCGCUACUUUAGCAUCUUUGUGAGAAGAAGCAUGAAUAAAAUUCGAGGAUCGUGCGAGUAUUUUUAGUGCCUACCAUGGCAUGCUUGUCUUUUAUUUUGUCUUUGUAACUUUGGAUCAUGAGCAUUGUCUUGAAUUCUAAAUCUUAGUUGUGGAGUUUCAAUAACCGAUUUGUUUAUGCAAUACCCAUGCUUUAUGAUGAUCAAGUGCUUUGAUUUGAUUAUCUUUAUGAGUAAAGCUUGAAUUGGAGGUGAUUUAAAAUUUUAUUGUUUAUUUAAAACCUCUACAAAACAAGAUUGAUCAAGAUCUUUUAACCAGGUUGAUAGUUUUUAUUUAUCCUACCCAAUGCCUAAAAAUAUUUAUUCAUACCACCACCAGCAAUAUUUGAUGCUUUGAAUUGAAUUAGAAUCGCUCUCUCUUGGUUCGCUUUAAAUCUGAGCAUUGAUUAUAUUCUUUAUACCAUUUCUGAAUGCUAGCCUCGUCAAUAUUAAGUAAUGAGAUUUUUCAUUGGAACAAUCAUAUUUUCUACUGAAUUCGUAAACCCG